This 256-nucleotide ribosomal RNA is filed under the name uncultured bacterium. RNAcentral describes it as "partial 16S ribosomal RNA". It matches the Rfam family "Bacterial small subunit ribosomal RNA", at positions 524 to 777 of the family's 1533-position model. The record is from RNAcentral.
UACAGAGGGGGCAAGCGUUGUUCGGAAUUACUGGGCGUAAAGGGCGCGUAGGCGGCGCAUUUAGUCAGGCGUGAAAGCCCUGGGCUCAACCUGGGGACUGCGCUUGAGACGGGUGUGCUGAGAGGACGGAAGAGGGUCGCGGAAUUCCCAGUGUAGAGGUGAAAUUCGUAGAUAUUCGCAAGAACACCAGUGGCGAAGGCGGCUCACUGGCCCGAUACUGACGCUGACGGUGCGAAAGCGUGGGGAGCAAACAGGG